RNAcentral lists this transfer RNA (53 nucleotides) under Rhinotergum shaoguanense. RNAcentral describes it as "tRNA-Glu". The record is from RNAcentral. Lineage: Eukaryota; Metazoa; Arthropoda; Arachnida; Trombidiformes; Diptilomiopidae.
AAUUCCUUGGUGUAAAAACACAUGAGAUUUUCGUUCUCAAGAUUAAAGAAUUA